Molecule: unclassified non-coding RNA, 350 nt
Filed under: uncultured fungus
Lineage: Eukaryota; Fungi
Description: sequence contains ITS1, 5.8S rRNA gene
Rfam family: 5.8S ribosomal RNA (bases 302-350)
Source: RNAcentral
UUUCCGUAGGUGAACCUGCGGAAGGAUCAUUAACGAGGUUUCAACGGCCAGUGCUGGCGAGGCAACUCGCAUGUGCACGGUCGAAAUCCUUCUAUCAAACCACUGUGCACUUUAAUUAAAACGGAUUCGAAGGGAAGCGCGUUUUGAGGAUUAACCUAGUAGUUGUGGGUCCCGUCAGGUACACGCGACGAAAGGUUAAUCCGUCGACGGACGCGUGGUACUUUUGGAUUCAUUUUAUUACAAACUACACGAAUACAAGUCAUAUUGAAUGUUCAGUCCUAAGGGACGCUAAAUCUAAUACAACUUUCAACAACGGAUCUCUUGGCUCUCGCAUCGAUGAAGAACGCAGC